UACGUAGGGUGCAAGCGUUGUCCGGAAUUAUUGGGCGUAAAGAGCUCGUAGGCGGUUUGUCGCGUCUGCUGUGAAAACUCGGGGCUUAACUCCGGGCCUGCAGUGGGUACGGGCAGACUAGAGUGCGGUAGGGGUGACUGGAAUUCCUGGUGUAGCGGUGAAAUGCGCAGAUAUCAGGAGGAGCACCGGUGGCGAAGGCGGGUCUCUGGGCCGUAACUGACGCUGAGGAGCGAAAGCGUGGGGAGCGAACAGG
This 253-nucleotide ribosomal RNA is filed under the name uncultured bacterium. RNAcentral's name for it is "partial 16S ribosomal RNA". It matches the Rfam family "Bacterial small subunit ribosomal RNA", at positions 524 to 776 of the family's 1533-position model. The record is from RNAcentral.